RNAcentral lists this ribosomal RNA (464 nucleotides) under uncultured Erysipelothrix sp. RNAcentral's name for it is "bacterial SSU rRNA". It matches the Rfam family "Bacterial small subunit ribosomal RNA", at positions 913 to 1382 of the family's 1533-position model. The record is from RNAcentral. Lineage: Bacteria; Bacillati; Bacillota; Erysipelotrichia; Erysipelotrichales; Erysipelotrichaceae.
ACGGGACCCGCACAAGCGGUGGAUUAUGUUGUUUAAUUCGACGCAACGCGAAGAACCUUACCAGGCCUUGACAUACUCGGCAAAGCUCUAGAGAUAGAGUGGAGGUUUAUCCGGGAUACAGGUGGUGCAUGGUUGUCGUCAGCUCGUGUCGUGAGAUGUUGGGUUAAGUCCCGCAACGAGCGCAACCCUUGUCUUUAGUUACCAUCAUUCAGUUGGGGACUCUAGAGAGACUGCCGGUGAUAAACCGGAGGAAGGUGGGGAUGACGUCAAAUCAUCAUGCCCCUUAUGGCCUGGGCUACAAACGUAAUACAAUGGCGUAUACAAAGGGAUGCGAAAGGGCGACCUGGAGCAAAACUCACAAAGUACGUCUCAGUUCAGAUUGGAGUCUGCAACUCGACUCCAUGAAGGCGGAAUCGCUAGUAAUCGCGGAUCAGCAUGCCGCGGUGAAUACGUUCUCGGGGUUU